ACACAAAAAGAAGAUAAAGCAAGAAAAAUUAAGGGGGAGGGGAAGAAAAAAAACUAAAACACCACCACGACUCGAUUUCCAAAGUUCCCCAAGGAGCCAGUCCGGAGCGCAGAGCCCCGUGUCCGCCUGCGUGUGUGUCUGCUCGCGUGCUGCAUCCGUGUGAUUUCCAGCCCACUCCCCUCUUCGGUUCUCCUCCCACGUCUUAAAAAUGAUAAGGGGAUGGUUGCUGUAGCUUGCUUUCGGCUCUUGAACAAAACCUCUGGCUGCUUGGCUUUGGGGAGAUUGGGGAGGGAGGGGGGGGCGUUACUACACACAUAAAUCUUUUUUUUUCCUUUCUUCUUAGUUUUAUGAAUGAAACCGGCCGGCUGAGCUGGGAGUAACAUCCCUGCCCUGAAACUCCUCAAAAGUGGUGAAAUCCAGGCGGGUAGCAGCGGAUGAAAGGGGAGGCAGCGGAGCGGCGGCUCCCCCGGAUCCUUUGAGACAGAGAAGGGAGAGAGAAGCAAAAAAAUAAACCACCCCUAUUCGUAACUAAAACGCAGUGCAACCUUGAAGGCUGGCAGAAUAAACCUAUUGUGGAGCUGAAACGCGCCGGGAUAUGCAAGGAAAAAGCCCCCAGAGUACCACUGUUUGCGAAAAGAUGCACACGGAAAACAAACAGCACCAGGGGCUGCAGCUCUGAAGGGAGCGAAGUUGCUCUGCUUCACAUGGGCUCCUCGGCUGCGUUUCGGGAGCUGCCCAGAUCUCCAGCCAUGAGAAAACGGAGCAAAAGACCGGGGUUUCUUGUCAUGUGCCUUUCUGGCUAAAACUGUGGAAACAAACAAACAAUCAAACAACACACAAAU
Long non-coding RNA from Neopsephotus bourkii (Bourke's parrot), 842 nucleotides. RefSeq lists it as uncharacterized. NCBI's taxonomy places the organism in Eukaryota, Metazoa, Chordata, Aves, Psittaciformes, Psittacidae. The record is from RefSeq and is a predicted model, not a curated record. The transcript has 3 exons.